This 188-nucleotide non-coding RNA is filed under the name Sphingomonas changbaiensis. RNAcentral also lists the same sequence under 1 other name. The record is from RNAcentral. Lineage: Bacteria; Pseudomonadati; Pseudomonadota; Alphaproteobacteria; Sphingomonadales; Sphingomonadaceae.
AAACGGCGCCACGUGACGGGUUCCCCGAGAGGGGAAGCAAAAGGGAACGCGGUUUAACGCCGCGGCUGCCCCCGCAACUGUGACCGGCGAGCCGGCGCGCCUUCAUGCCACUGGGACCUGUCCCGGGAAGGCGGCGCGACCAGCAUUGACCCGGGAGCCAGGAGACCUGCCCGCCGCCGCUGUUCAUC